RNAcentral lists this ribosomal RNA (433 nucleotides) under uncultured bacterium. RNAcentral's name for it is "partial 16S ribosomal RNA". It matches the Rfam family "Bacterial small subunit ribosomal RNA", at positions 29 to 507 of the family's 1533-position model. The record is from RNAcentral.
AGCGAACGCUGGCGGCAGGCCUAACACAUGCAAGUCGAACGAACUCUUCGGAGUUAGUGGCGGACGGUUGAGUAACACGUGGGAACGUGCCUUUUGGUUCGGAAUAACUCAGGGAAACUUGUGCUAAUACCGAAUGUGCCCUUCGGGGGAAAGAUUUAUCGCCAUUAGAGCGGCCCGCGUCUGAUUAGCUAGUUGGUGAGGUAACGGCUCACCAAGGCGACGAUCAGUAGCUGGUCUGAGAGGAUGACCAGCCACACUGGGACUGAGACACGGCCCAGACUCCUACGGGAGGCAGCAGUGGGGAAUCUUGCGCAAUGGGCGAAAGCCUGACGCAGCCAUGCCGCGUGAAUGAUGAAGGUCUUAGGAUUGUAAAAUUCUUUCACCGGGGACGAUAAUGACGGUACCCGGAGAAGAAGCCCCGGCUAACUUCGUG